This 301-nucleotide ribosomal RNA is filed under the name uncultured bacterium. Its description in RNAcentral is "partial 16S ribosomal RNA". It matches the Rfam family "Bacterial small subunit ribosomal RNA", at positions 509 to 807 of the family's 1533-position model. The record is from RNAcentral.
CAGUCGCCACGGUAACACGGAGGGCGCGAGCGUUACCCGGAUUUACUGGGCGUAAAGGGCGUGUAGGCGGCCUGGGGCGUCCCAUGUGAAAGGCCACGGCUCAACCGUGGAGGAGCGUGGGAUACGCUCAGGCUAGAGGGUGGGAGAGGGUGGUGGAAUUCCCGGAGUAGCGGUGAAAUGCGCAGAUACCGGGAGGAACGCCGAUGGCGAAGGCAGCCACCUGGUCCACUUCUGACGCUGAGGCGCGAAAGCGUGGGGAGCAAACCGGAUUAGAUACCCGCGUAGUCCCUGUCUCUUAUAC